AGAUACUCAACGGGUUUGCCCUUUCGGGUGUGCCGUUGCAGCUCUCUUAAGAUCAUCUAAACCAAAGAUCCGGGAAAGAACGGUCACCGAAGUCAAUAGCUCAAAAGAGAUAAUCCAACCUAAGCGGAAUAACUCCACCUGGAAGGACUCUCUCAAAUGAACCUCGUCCGGCUGUGGUAUGUCACAUCUCCGCAUCAUGUCGUACAACAUGUGAAGAGACAUGAGACCACGCUAAUCCUAGGUGUAUACUCAGGCCUGGGUAUUGGGCCCCACUUAGAACACCCACCCCAAAU
This 293-nucleotide long non-coding RNA is filed under the name Lathyrus oleraceus (garden pea). Its description in RNAcentral is "Pisum sativum (pea) long non-coding RNA (PSAT_LNC024705)". The record is from RNAcentral. Lineage: Eukaryota; Viridiplantae; Streptophyta; Magnoliopsida; Fabales; Fabaceae.